UGUGUGUGUGUGUGUGUGUGUGUGUGUGUGUGAGAGAGAGAGAGAGAGAGAGAGAGAGAGAGAGAGAGAGAGAGAGAGAGAGAGAGAGAGAGAGAGAGAGAGAGAGAGAGAGAGAGAGAGAGAGAGAGAGAGAGAGAGAGAGAGAAAAGAACGAAAAGAACUAUAUAGAUGGAGAGCAGGGAUGAAAGAAAGGGAAAAAUAAAAUUAAAUAAAGAACAGAAAGAUAAAGAAACAGACGACCCUUCAGAAGUGGGACGCCAGUGGAAAUGUUAGGAAACUUUAUUGGGCCGCCGCCGUCCUCGUGAGCGUCAGCACACUCACUAUAAGUGUUUCAACUCAUCAGCUGGAUGAAUGUAAUGAAGCUGAAAGAUGUUAAAUAGUGAACCAAUUCUUAUUAAGUAAAAUCAGUCAAUUAAUCAGAAAAGGAAAAUAUAAUAAAAAGGAAAUAUCGAAAGUAAGAAGAAGAGGAGACGGCCGCCGCGCCGCAAGCCGUCGCCAGGAUUCCUUUGGAUGCUUGUGCUCGUCCCCGAGGCCCUCCGGCCUUCCAUCCCAGAACCGAUAAACUCGGUGAUCGGCGACUUUUCGGUAUUUUUGAUUAAUUUCAUAAUCCAGUCUGGUAGUUUUAAGAAGCGAGCUCUUGUAUUCACCCUCCUCGCCUCGGCGGGGCGGGGCAGCGCCAGCGAGCCCAAGGUCUCCCUGGAGAGCAUGGCAGGAGUGGAGGGCUCCCGGCAGGGCACCUAAGCGUCCCCCGGGGCCCCGACGGAGGUGCCCGAGAACUUCCAGCUACAGAGCUGAGCAGUGAGGUUCCAUAACCGUGGUAGGCAAUAUGCCUAAGAGAGCAAACUCCGAACAACAAACCGGGCAGGUGGGGCUCGUUAGCCGUGGUAGGCAAUCUGCCUAGGAGAGCAAACUCUAAACAAACCCGGGCAGGUGGGGCUCGUUAGCCGUGGUAGGCAAUCUGCCUAGGAGAGCAAACUCUAAACAAACCCGGGCAGGUGGAGCUCGUUAGCCGUGGUAGGCAGUCUGCCUAGGAGAGCAAACUCUAAACAAACCCGGGCAGGUGGAGCUCGUUAGCCGUGGUAGGCAGUCUGCCUAGGAGAGCAAACUCUAAACAAACCCGGGCAGGUGGAGCUCGUUAGCCGUGGUAGGCAGUCUGCCUAGGAGAGCAAACUCUAAACAAACCCGGGCAGGUGGGGCUCGUUAGCCGUGGUAGGCAGUCUGCCUAGGAGAGCAAACUCUAAACAAACCCGGGCAGGUGGGGCUCGUUAGCCGUGGUAGGCAGUCUGCCUAGGAGAGCAAACUCUAAACAAACCCGGGCAGGUGGAGCUCGUUAGCCGUGGUAGGCAAUCUACCUAGGAGAGCAAACUCUAAACAAACCCGGGCAGGUGGAGCUCGUUAGCCGUGGUAGGCAAUCUACCUAGGAGAGCAAACUCUAAACAAACCCGGGCAGGUGGGGCUCGUUAGCCGUGGUAGGCAAUCUACCUAGGAGAGCAAACUCUAAACAAACCCGGGCAGGUGUGGCUCGUUAGCCGUGGUAGGCAAUACACCUAGGAGAGCAAACUCUAAACAAACCCGGGAAGGUGGAGCUCGUUAGCCGUGGUAGGCAAUUCGCCUAGGAGAGCAAACUCCGAACAACAAACCCGGACAGGUGGAGGUCGUUAGCCGUGGUAGGCAAUUCGCCUAGGAGAGCAAACUCCGAACAACAAACCCGGGCAGGUGGAGCUCGUUAGCCGUGGUAGGCAAUUCACCUAGGAGAGGGACAACUCCGAAUAACAAACCCGGACAGGUUGGGCUCGUGAGCCGUCAUAGGCAAUACACCUAGGAGAGCAAACUCCGAACAAUAAACCCGGACAGGUUGGGCUCGUGAGCCGUCAUAGGCAAUACACCUAGGAGAGCAAACUCCGAAUAAUAAACCCGGGCAGGUUGGGCUCGUGAGCCGUCAUAGGCAAUACACCUAGGAGAGCAAACUCCGAACAAUAAACCCGGACAGGUUGGGCUCGUGAGCCGUCAUAGGCAAUACACCUAGGAGAGCAAACUCCGAACAAUAAACCCGGGCAGGUGGAGCUCGUCAGCCGUGGUAGGCAAUCUGCCUAGGAGAGCAAACUCCGAACAACAAACCCGGGCAGGUGGAGCUCGUCAGCCGUGGUAGGCAAUCUGCCUAGGAGAGCAAACUCCGAACAACAAACCCGGGCAGGUGGAGCUCGUCAGCCGUGGUAGGCAAUCUGCCUAGGAGAGCAAACUCCGAACAACAAACCCGGGCUUGUGGUGCCCGUUAGAUGUCGUAGACAAUCCACGUGAUGGGAACACCAAAGAAAAUGAAAAUGAAAAAGAAUACCAGAAAAAGGAAAAUAUAGAAACGAAACAUCGAGAAAAGAAAAAGCAAACACAGAUCAUCCACCUUUCGGCCCUAACUAACAUCACCAAAAUUAUGGGUGGGUCUCUUCUGGGGAGAAAGAGGCUCAUCCAGACCAAAGAACAUCAACAAGGGAUGAUAGAGAAAAGAACAUCAAGAAA
This is a long non-coding RNA of Eriocheir sinensis (Chinese mitten crab), 2514 nucleotides long. RefSeq lists it as uncharacterized. Lineage: Eukaryota; Metazoa; Arthropoda; Malacostraca; Decapoda; Varunidae. The transcript has 3 exons. The record is from RefSeq and is a predicted model, not a curated record.